This is a long non-coding RNA of Carassius carassius (crucian carp), 300 nucleotides long. RefSeq lists it as uncharacterized. Lineage: Eukaryota; Metazoa; Chordata; Actinopteri; Cypriniformes; Cyprinidae. The record is from RefSeq and is a predicted model, not a curated record. The transcript is spliced from 3 exons.
CAGUGGGAGAACUGUUUUCAGCAUUUCCCACUGAAUCAUCCAUUGAAUGUUGUUGUUGCCAUGGUUCCAGCUCCUCCUCCUCACACUCCAUAAACAGAUCCGCAUCCAUGUUUCUGAAAUAUAAAAUCAUUCAGCUGGAGCGGUUUCAGUGUCAAGACUGGCGUUUACAAAACCACCUCAUCCUGCAAAUUCCAUAAAUACAUUAACGACUGAUGAAAACUCCCUGGCAGGGUGCACAGACCUCUAUCUACUGUGCUGUCACUGAGGGCUUAGUAAGGAAGUCUGGCUGCUACUUCAGGU